Molecule: ribosomal RNA, 459 nt
Filed under: uncultured bacterium
Lineage: Bacteria
Description: partial 16S ribosomal RNA
Rfam family: Bacterial small subunit ribosomal RNA
Source: RNAcentral
CCUACGAGAGGCAGCAGUGAGGAAUAUUGGUCAAUGGCCGGAAGGCUGAACCAGCCAUGCCGCGUGAAGGUCAGUGCCCUAUGGGCGUUAAACUUCUUUUGUGCGGGAGCAAUAAUGGUCACGUGUGGCCAGACGAGAGGACCGUACGAAUAAGCAUUGGCGAACUCCGUGGCAGCAGCCGCGGUAAUACGGAGGAUCCGAGCGUUAUCCGGAUUUAUUGGGUUUAAAGGGAGCGUAGAUGGGUUGUUAAGUCAGUUGUGAAAGUUUGCGGCUCAACCGUAAAAUUGCAAUUGAUACUGGAAGCGUUGAGUACAGUUGAGGUAGGCGGAAUUCGUGGUGUAGCGGUGAAAGGCUUAGAGAUCACGAAGAACUCCGAUUGCGAAGGCAGCCUACUAAACUGCCACUGACAUUGAUGCUCGAAAGUGUGGGUAUCAAACAGGAUUAGAUACCCUAGUAGUC